Molecule: ribosomal RNA, 446 nt
Filed under: uncultured bacterium
Lineage: Bacteria
Description: bacterial SSU rRNA
Rfam family: Bacterial small subunit ribosomal RNA
Source: RNAcentral
AACGAACGCUGGCGGCAGGCCUAACACAUGCAAGUCGAGCGAGACCUUCGGGUCUAGCGGCGGACGGGUGAGUAACGCGUGGGAACGUACCCUUUUCUGCAGGAUAGCCACUGGAAACGGUGAGUAAUACUGCAUACGCCCUUCGGGGGAAAGAUUUAUCGGAGAAGGAUCGGCCCGCGUUAGAUUAGGUAGUUGGUGGGGUAAUGGCCUACCAAGCCUACGAUCUAUAGCUGGUUUGAGAGGAUGAUCAGCCACACUGGGACUGAGACACGGCCCAGACUCCUACGGGAGGCAGCAGUGGGGAAUCUUAGACAAUGGGGCAACCCUGAUCUAGCCAUGCCGCGUGAGUGAUGAAGGCCUUAGGGUCGUAAAGCUCUUUCGCCAGGGAAGAUAAUGACAGUACCUAGUAAAGAACCCCGGCUAACUCCGUGCCAGCGCCGCGGUAA